GAUGAACGCUGGCGGCGUGCCUAAUACAUGCAAGUCGAGCGAACAGAUGAGGAGCUUGCUCCUCUGACGUUAGCGGCGGACGGGUGAGUAACACGUGGAUAACCUACCUAUAAGACUGGGAUAACUUCGGGAAACCGGAGCUAAUACCGGAUAAUAUAUUGAACCGCAUGGUUCAAUAGUGAAAGACGGUUUUGCUGUCACUUAUAGAUGGAUCCGCGCCGCAUUAGCUAGUUGGUAAGGUAACGGCUUACCAAGGCAACGAUGCGUAGCCGACCUGAGAGGGUGAUCGGCCACACUGGAACUGAGACACGGUCCAGACUCCUACGGGAGGCAGCAGUAGGGAAUCUUCCGCAAUGGGCGAAGGCCUGACGGAGCAACGCCGCGUGAGUGAUGAAGGUCUUCGGAUCGUAAAACUCUGUUAUUAGGGAAGAACAAAUGUGUAAGUAACUACGCACGUCUUGACGGUACCUAAUCAGAAAGCCACGGCUAACUACGUG
This 497-nucleotide ribosomal RNA is filed under the name uncultured bacterium. Its description in RNAcentral is "partial 16S ribosomal RNA". It matches the Rfam family "Bacterial small subunit ribosomal RNA", at positions 28 to 507 of the family's 1533-position model. The record is from RNAcentral.